Molecule: non-coding RNA, 288 nt
Organism: Oryctolagus cuniculus (rabbit)
Lineage: Eukaryota; Metazoa; Chordata; Mammalia; Lagomorpha; Leporidae
Source: RefSeq, a predicted model, not a curated record
CGCAGGAUCUCUGUCCUUAAUAUGUUUAUCUAUGAAACUCAAAAACAACACUACUAGUCGAACAAUACCCUAUACCUGGUUCGGUUGUGUGAGUGCAACCUGUUGAAAUCCCUGCUUAGUAUAUACUAAAUUGAUCUUCGGUAUAUGAAGGUAAAUUUCCAGGAUGGGAUGCCUGGGUCAUAUGGAGACUGUUGUCACUGACAAUCCUUAAUCAUCUUAUACCAGUAUCUAAGAAUCAGAUAAUUCAGAAUGAUGUCUUAUCUUUUUUAGAAUUAUUGUAGUGUUUUA